Molecule: ribosomal RNA, 340 nt
Filed under: uncultured bacterium
Lineage: Bacteria
Description: bacterial SSU rRNA
Rfam family: Bacterial small subunit ribosomal RNA
Source: RNAcentral
AGUAACGCGUGAGUAACCUGCCCAUAAGCGCACAGUGCCGCAUGGCACAGUGUGAAAACUCCGGUGGUAUACGAUGGACCCGCGUCUGAUUAGCUGGUUGGUGAGGUUAAACGGCCCACCAAGGCGACGAUCAGUAGCCGGCCUGAGAGGGUGAACGGCCACAUUGGGACUGAGACACGGCCCAAACUCCUACGGGAGGCAGCAGUGGGGAAUAUUGCACAAUGGGGGAAACCCUGAUGCAGCGACGCCGCGUGAGUGAAGAAGUAUUUCGGUAUGUAAAGCUCUAUCAGCAGGAAAGAAAAUGACGGUACCUGACUAAGAAGCUCCGGCUAAAUACGUG